CACAAACACUCCAGUCUAAACCAAUCAGGCCAUUGAGUUCGAGAGAAAAAUGCAUUUAGAUCAAAGAGCCUCGUGACUGUGGAUUAUCAGAUGAUCGGCUGAUAACACGCCGUCCUUUGUGCCUGCGGUUGCUGAGAAACGGCGGGUAGUUCAUGUGAGUCGAGCGGGAGCUGACUGAGGGAUGCUGGGAAUCAAAGUCUGUUUAUUAAAUACUGUAUGAGUGACGCCUCUGCAGGAUGAAUCGGCUGCGGUCGCUGCGAUGACAGUUAUCAGUGACAGCCUUCAUCGUGUUUCAUCAGCGCUGGACGCGAGCCACCUCCUCAGUAAGCCUGCGGAUCACACUGGAUGCUUUUCCAACUCGCUGUCCUCGGAUGAACCGAAGGCCGCUGCCAAGAUUCAGCUCAGUUUAUAGAAGGUAACUGGGUUACAAACCAACCAGCACAACAGAGAGAUGCAGGCCCAGAGAAUGAACCAGUCAGUACUGAGGAAACACACAGUAAACUGAAAACUCCAGAUCUGGACCGGGUUUGUUGAUGUUGACCGUUCAUGUGGUGAAAUCCUCAAACACACGACGAGAGCUGCUGUUCAGAGGACAAUCCUCAGCUGACUAAUGCUAGAAAAAGAUGUCACCGCAAAGGACUGCAGUCGGGAUGAAGAUGACGUAGGUCUCGUUUUGCACUGAUGCAGCGUUCCUGUUUCAGACUCUUUCUGCUACAAACCUUCUGACUCUCUUAAACUGAGUGAAGAACAUAGUUAAGCAACACACAUUCAGCAGAAUGACCUCAUGGCUGUCAGAAGAGCUGCUUCCAUGGAAACACCAUAAUCCAGUUUACAAAGAGACGGCGAGACAACGCUCCUCAAGUGCCUCAUCUAGACAUACACUCCUGUUCCUCUGACAUGAUUCACCUGAUCCUGAAGAAUGCCACAAUGAGAGCAGACUUUUGUUGUUGUUGCUUUCACAAAGAAUAGCCUAAGAAAUCUCCGAUAUCUCCACAGCCUGAAUAUUAUUUGUAUGAACUAAGCUGUUUGCAUUAAGAAUUAUAAACCAAAGGAACGAUUCAUUUCUUCUGAAAGAGUGUUUAGAGUGAGUUUCAUCAUCAUCUGAAUGCUCUGUUUGUCUUUGUCUCAUUUCAACAGUUUAUUCUGUGUUGAAGAUGUUUGAGGUUACAGCAGUUGAUUCUGGAAGGAUAUUACACUCGUAAACAAAACUCCAUAUGACUGACGAACAAAAUCUGCUACUCGAGUUGCAUCAUGACAUUCGGUUCAGACGCUCACCUCAG
This is a long non-coding RNA of Cyprinus carpio carpio, 1280 nucleotides long. Lineage: Eukaryota; Metazoa; Chordata; Actinopteri; Cypriniformes; Cyprinidae. The record is from Ensembl.